AAGACCUUGCGCUUUUGGAGCGGCCGAUGCCUGAUUAGCUUGUUGGUAAGGUAAAAGCUUACCAAGGCUUCGAUCAGUAGCUGGUCUGAGAGGACGACCAGCCACACUGGGACUGAGACACGGCCCAGACUCCUACGGGAGGCAGCAGUGGGGAAUUUUGGACAAUGGGGGAAACCCUGAUCCAGCCAUGCCGCGUGAGUGAAGAAGGCCUUCGGGUUGUAAAGCUCUUUCAGCCGGAACGAAACGGUUACGGAUAAUACCCGUGACUACUGACGGUACCGGAAGAAGAAGCACCGGCUAACUACGUGCAAGCAGCCGCGGUAAUACGUAGGGUGCGAGCGUUAAUCGGAAUUACUGGGCGUAAAGCGUGCGCAGGUGGUUUUGUAAGUCAGAUGUGAAAGCCCCGGGCUCAACCUGGGAACU
This 423-nucleotide ribosomal RNA is filed under the name uncultured bacterium. Its description in RNAcentral is "bacterial SSU rRNA". It matches the Rfam family "Bacterial small subunit ribosomal RNA", at positions 207 to 622 of the family's 1533-position model. The record is from RNAcentral.